UUGUAUAUGUCCAUGCAUUUAUUCAUAGUAAAUCGUUUCUUUCAUUAGAUUUCUUGUUUCCGGUGACUUGCAGCGCCACGUGUGCAGAGCAUAUCGGAUCAGCAAACAACAAUUCGGCGUGAUAAUCAUGCAAUGAAUUUCCCAAAUUGAACAUAGACAACAUGUUACAGUGGAAUGGAACUUUUCGAACUGCGUGGGAGCCGUUGCCGGAAAGCAUUUGGCAAUAAAGCGGGAGCUGUUUUUGGCUUCCACUGUGCUAAGGCGAUCUGCGCUAUCUGCGACGCCCAGUAUGUAUAUGUAUGUUAACCUAUGUACAUAUGUAGAUAGAGGUUGCCACCUAUGGAAGUGAGGGCCUUCUUACGCUGUUAGCUUGGCAUUCUUUGCGCCGAUGGGUGGCUGUGCAGCGUACCCUAUUUACCCGACCCAAAAAGUCUCAAACAAGUAUUGCUGCUUGUUUUCGGCCACACAAUUUCUUAAUGUGCACAAGUCCUAAUACGUACAUAUACCAUAAAUCGAGAUUCAUUAAUUCAACCUCACACUUUAUAGCCCGAUCCCCGCCCCAGUUGCAUCAAUCGACCUCAGCACUAUUGACAGGCCUUUAGAAACAACUUAAAAAAUCGAAGUAAUUAAAUAAAUUGAAAAUGCAUACAUAUUU
Drosophila subobscura is the source of this 655-nucleotide long non-coding RNA. RefSeq lists it as uncharacterized. NCBI's taxonomy places the organism in Eukaryota, Metazoa, Arthropoda, Insecta, Diptera, Drosophilidae. The record is from RefSeq and is a predicted model, not a curated record. The transcript is spliced from 2 exons.